RNAcentral lists this ribosomal RNA (368 nucleotides) under uncultured bacterium. RNAcentral's name for it is "bacterial SSU rRNA". It matches the Rfam family "Bacterial small subunit ribosomal RNA", at positions 29 to 423 of the family's 1533-position model. The record is from RNAcentral.
AACGAACGCUGGCGGCAGGCUUAACACAUGCAAGUCGAACGCGUGUAGCAAUACACGAGUGGCGCACGGGUGAGUAACGCGUGGAUAUCUGCCUUUUGGUUCGGAAUAACCCCGGGAAACUGGGGCUAAUACCGGAUGGUUCCUUCGGGAUAAAGAUUUAUCGCCAAAAGAUGAGUCCGCGUACGAUUAGCUAGUUGGUGAGGUAAUGGCUCACCAAGGCGACGAUCGUUAGCUGGCUGAGAGGACGAUCAGCCACACUGGGACUGAGACACGGCCCAGACUCCUACGGGAGGCAGCAGUGGGGAAUAUUGGACAAUGGGGGCAACCCUGAUCCAGCCAUGCCGCGUGAGUGAUGAAGGCCUUCGGUU